This 253-nucleotide ribosomal RNA is filed under the name uncultured bacterium. Its description in RNAcentral is "partial 16S ribosomal RNA". It matches the Rfam family "Bacterial small subunit ribosomal RNA", at positions 524 to 776 of the family's 1533-position model. The record is from RNAcentral.
UACGUAGGGGGCAAGCGUUGUCCGGAAUCAUUGGGCGUAAAGAGCGCGUAGGCGGCUUGUCACGUCGGGUGUGAAAGACCGGGGCUUAACUCCGGUUCUGCAUUCGAUACGGGCUAGCUAGAGUGUGGUAGGGGAGAUCGGAAUUCCUGGUGUAGCGGUGAAAUGCGCAGAUAUCAGGAGGAACACCGGUGGCGAAGGCGGAUCUCUGGGCCAUUACUGACGCUGAGGAGCGAAAGCGUGGGGAGCGAACAGG